CACCAUAGUGCAGUUCUGACGCUCAUGUUCCCAUUGAAGGUGUUGUUGGAGGUGGACAGCGGUCAUCAUGAGCACUUUGACCAAUCUGCAGCUACACAGUCCCAUAUACAGAAAACUGCAAUGCACUGUGUGUUCUAACAUCUUUCUAUUCUAGCCAGCAUUGCUCUUCAGCAAUUUGAACUACGUUAGCCCUUCUGUGCAAUCGGACAAGGCAGGCUAGCCUUCGCU
Molecule: non-coding RNA, 228 nt
Organism: Pelobates cultripes (western spadefoot toad)
Lineage: Eukaryota; Metazoa; Chordata; Amphibia; Anura; Pelobatidae
Source: the annotation of a GenBank genome assembly